Long non-coding RNA from Oncorhynchus tshawytscha (Chinook salmon), 2068 nucleotides. RefSeq lists it as uncharacterized. The record is from RefSeq and is a predicted model, not a curated record. NCBI's taxonomy places the organism in Eukaryota, Metazoa, Chordata, Actinopteri, Salmoniformes, Salmonidae. The transcript has 9 exons.
UGGCCGGGUCGCAAUUGUAAAUGAGAACUUGUUCUCAACUUGCCUACCUGGUUAAAUAAAGGUAAAAUAAAAUAAAUAAAUAAAAAUGUGACCUGGUACUGCAGCUGGUCCCAGAGCCUCUCCCAGCUGUGUCCACUGGCAGCCAGGAUCUAGACCUGGAGGAGGCCACUCCUGACCUUACACACUCGGCUGGGGCAGAGGAACAACUGGAUGAAGAACCAUUCAGGCCUCUAGGUGGUGCUCCCAGAAAAUACUUACCUGCGUCAGGUCACAGAGGGACCAGUGGGGCUACCGGAGGCCAAACUAUUUAGACAGCAGAGUUCUACACGACCUCAGAUGGUACGACUAGUCAGGUUUAUGGCCAGCGAAAAGCGUGGUCGACCGUUGACCACUAGUCCCAGACUCCCUGACCCCUCUCAGCCAGCCCAAGCUAUAGAGACAACAGUGGAGUACAUAGUAGCUGGUACCCUGCUCCAUCCUGAUAAACAAGCCAUCAAGAUCCACACAUUUGAAACCGAGAGGAAGAGAAGGGGGAGGAGGAGCCGGAGAGGCAGGAGCAGAUAGCCCUGCUACAGGAUUUAGGGGAGAAGAAAAGCAGGCUGGAGCUGCUGCUACUGCAGGAGGCCCAGGAAGAGCGCAGCUGCAGACGGCCAUGGCCCAAGACACUGCUGCUGCAUCUGGACCACCGAAAACACCAGCCCAGGACGGCAGCCCUGCUGCACCAUCUCCUGAGUCUACUAUACACUCAGCUACUGAAGAUGACCACACCAGGAGAAUCAGAGUAUCAGCAGCAUCUCUUAGACCAGAACAGUCAGUGGAAGAGACUCGCCGGCGUCUGGAAGAGUACCAACACACGCUAAGAAACGGCUAUUCUGGUAUAACUACGGCAACAUGUCUCCCUCCUGGUACCAAAGCCUGUCCUCUACCACACUUUAAAGGAGGAAUCAUUCCACCAGUAGUGCCACUAGAACUCCCCUCUGGCUCUGCCCUUCUCCCCUGUCUCCCUGUAGCACUUAGUACCCACUCUAGAGCUUACACUCCUCUGGACCUCCCCACACCCUCCAUCUUGGCUCAAACUCUCUUCCUUCCUGGCACAACAGUCUGCUCGCAUAUCAACUCCAGGGCCUCUCCGGUGCAGCUAGAACCCACCGCUAAAAGGCUAAGAGACCAAAGUGCAGGUUUUUCUGCUUGGCUGGCAGACAAUGUGUUUAGUAGGGUCCCAGAGGACAUCCCUGAGAGACUACUUUCCCCUCUACCUCGUUGGAUCUACAGACCACAUCCUGUUUCCCUCCACUCUACUCCACACAUCCCACUCCCAUCAAAAACUGACUCCCAGGUCUGGGGAAGAGGUGCAGAGGCAGGAGAUACGUGAGGCCCAGUGUUUGGUGGAGGCCCAGAGGGAGCAGGAGGAAAAACGGAGAUGGCUGGAGGAAGAGCACAGGAGGAGACAGAGGGAGGAGUUACAGGCACUGCUCACUGCUGACAACAAACAGCCUGGUCCGGAGAUCGCUGAUGGUUUUGGGUCAAAGGUUCUGGGGUCAGAGCGUGUCCAUCGGAUGGCAGCUCUGCUGAGGGCCAUCGGAGCCCAAUGGGCAAACAUCAUCUGUAGGAGCUAAUCCAAGCCAAGACGACACACUCAAUGUCCAGAGUUCGCAGCCAAACCCCCGGUGGCCUGUGCCAGGCUGGCCGUCAUGGAGAUGAUAGAGCAGCAUGAGCUCAGUGCCAUCCAGGAGGUGGAGACACCAGCCUGAUCACAGGUACUAUGUGCUGUGUCCAGAAGGGAGUGUGAGGCUGUCUUGUAUUGAAAGGGCAUUCCCAGAAGAACAGGACCACUUGGCCCACUGAGAGAGGUCACUCCAGCACCUUUGUGUUCAGUGUAGGGGAACACACAGCUGGGAGUGAGAUAUUAAACCUGGUCUGGUAGAUCCAGCAAGCUAUCCUGGAGAGAGAGAUUACGGCUGGAGGCUGGUGCCUCUCCUGAACCUGAUCCCACCACGGUCUGCCCAGAACAGUCUCAACACUCCUCUGAGUUUGGGAGAGGUGUUUCUGGAAAAUCUCCUGAGGCAAG